Molecule: ribosomal RNA, 381 nt
Filed under: uncultured marine Chaetocerotaceae
Lineage: Eukaryota; Bacillariophyta; Thalassiosirophyceae; Chaetocerotales; Chaetocerotaceae
Description: SSU rRNA
Rfam family: Eukaryotic small subunit ribosomal RNA
Source: RNAcentral
AGCUCCAAUAGCGUAUAUUAAAGUUGCUGCAGUUAAAAAGCUCGUAGUUGCAUUUCCGAGGCAAGGGAUUAGUCCGACCUUUGGUGGGUAUUUAAUCCUCUUGCCUCGUCCUUGAGUGGUGCUUCUUGGUAUUAAGUUAUCGAGGAGAUAGCCGCUCAUCGUUUACUGUGAGAAAAUUAGAGUGUUCAAAGCAGGCUUAUGCCGUUGAAUAUAUUAGCAUGGAAUAAUAAGAUAGGACCUCGGUACUAUUGUGUUGGUUUGAGAACCAAGGUAAUGAUGAAUAGGGACAGUUGGGGGUAUUCGUAUUCAGUUGUCAGAGGUGAAAUUCUUAGAUUUACGGAAGACGAACUACUGCGAAAGCAUUUACCAAGGAUGUGUUCA